AAAUUGAUUUUACUCAAUUUGAGCAUGUCAAAAACAAACAUGACCUUUUUCUCAUAUGUCUGUUGGAUUGUGAGCGUGCCAGGGACACUAACAUCCCAAGUAUGUAAUGUAAAUAAAUUGUUCUGAUUUCCAAUUUGAACGAUUAGAGGGAAACAAAGGACUAAACUUUCCCUUGGGUUCCUUGACUCUACUAGGAUGCAUUUUGUCAAGAUUUCUACCUGUAUAACUUUGUGAAAUUUGAGAAAAUGGGAUUGGUUGCUAG
RNAcentral lists this unclassified non-coding RNA (262 nucleotides) under Hevea brasiliensis (rubber tree). The record is from RNAcentral. Lineage: Eukaryota; Viridiplantae; Streptophyta; Magnoliopsida; Malpighiales; Euphorbiaceae.